RNAcentral lists this ribosomal RNA (587 nucleotides) under uncultured bacterium. RNAcentral's name for it is "partial 16S ribosomal RNA". It matches the Rfam family "Bacterial small subunit ribosomal RNA", at positions 355 to 1375 of the family's 1533-position model. The record is from RNAcentral.
UGGGGAAUUUUGGACAAUGGGCGAAAGCCUGAUCCAGCAAUGCCGCGUGUGUGAAGAAGGCCUUCGGGUUGUAAAGCACUUUUGUCCGGAAAGAAAUCCUUGGCUCUAAUACAGUCGGGGGAUGACGGUACCGGAAGAAUAAGCACCGGCUAACUACGUGCCAGCAGCCGCGGUAAUACGUAGGGUGCAAGCGUUAAUCGGAAUUACUGGGCGUAAAGCGUGCGCAGGCGGUUUGCUAAGACCGAUGUGAAAUCCCCGGGCUCAACCUGGGAACUGCAUUGGUGACUGGCAGGCUAGAGUAUGGCAGAGGGGGGUAGAAUUCCACGUGUAGCAGUGAAAUGCGUAGAGAUGUGGAGGAAUACCGAUGGCGAAGGCAGCCCCCUGGGCCAAUACUGACGCUCAUGCACGAAAGCGUGGGGAGCAAACAGGAUUAGAUACCCUGGGUAGUCCACGCCCUAAACGAUGUCAACUAGUUGUUGGGGAUUCAUUUCCUUAGUAACGUAGCUAACGCGUGAAGUUGACCGCCUGGGGGAGUACGGUCGCAAGAUUAAAACUCAAAGGAAUUGACGGGGUCAUAGCUGUUUCCU